Long non-coding RNA from Oncorhynchus gorbuscha (pink salmon), 792 nucleotides. RefSeq lists it as uncharacterized. The transcript is spliced from 3 exons. The record is from RefSeq and is a predicted model, not a curated record. Lineage: Eukaryota; Metazoa; Chordata; Actinopteri; Salmoniformes; Salmonidae.
AAUUCCUUGCGAUUUGGAGCUGUAUACAGUUGACGUAAGAAAAAUCUAAAUGUCUGUGUUUGCAGCCAGCAUUUUCAGACAGAGGAUUUGGAAACGGAACUGAAGUCUCACUGAUGGGGUUGCAAUGUCGUUGAGCUUUGAAAAUUGAUGAUAUUCCAUUGAAAUUCCCUUUCACCUCAAAAAGGAAGGCAUCUGAUCCGCGCAGCAGAAAAGAAGUUAAGCUGAGUAGUACAGCGCCUGUAGACCCAUUGGAUGAAAGCUUUCAGCCUGAAAUAAGCUCAAGCUCAACAACAUCUGAAUUUGAAACAAGCCAGGACAGCCAAAGGAGACUGCAGUACAAACAAAUCUUCUGCGAGAGGUUGAAGCAGUGGGGAGUGAAAAGGUGUACGAGCGGCCACAUUGCUGUGAAGUGCAGAAAAGAGCAGACUGUUGUCUACAAGGAGCCAGAGUCACAGCUCCACUAAACAUCUCUGCCAACAACACCCCAGCGCCAAAGCCUGUUAAACCAGCUAUCAUUUCCCAACACAAGAAGAGGUUCACCAGCGAAAAACAUUCAGGAACCUACCUGGAACAUUCAACCAACAUAACAUCCAUAUUUUGUAAUAUAAUAUGUAAAUGCCUAGUAUGAUUACAACUGCAUUGUGGUAUAUAUGUUGCUAGCUGUUGUACAUACAGUUGAAGUGGGAUGUUUACAUACACUUAGGUUGGAGUCAUUAAAAUUUGAUUUUCAACCACAAAACAAAUGUCUUGUUAAUAAACUAUAGUUUUGCCAAGUCGGUUAGGACAUCUAAU